Molecule: long non-coding RNA, 422 nt
Organism: Mugil cephalus (flathead mullet)
Lineage: Eukaryota; Metazoa; Chordata; Actinopteri; Mugiliformes; Mugilidae
Exons: 4
Source: RefSeq, a predicted model, not a curated record
GCAAAGUAGGCUAAGGGAAACAAAUCAGACGCACACACAAACCAUCUGGAUCCAACAGAGAAAGAUGAUUUUCUGUGGUGUUUUAAAUCUUUGACCUGGAUAUGAGUUUGAAAGGUGUGCACGAUGGAUGUUUCUGAGGAGAGAGAGGACGAUGUUUCUACCUUAAAGGCUGCUCUGUCUGAGCAAAAUGAUGGAGGGACAGGAAAAAAUAGCCAAGUGACCCAGGAGAGAAUGGACUCACCUGUACCUGGAGUUUAUUUGAGGCAUGAUCGAUCUAUGAGGAAACACGUAACAUUUAAGGAUAGAGACAAGUCAAGAGAUAAUAAUGAACAACACUCUGUUGAGCAAAGUGAAGUGAACCAAGAAAGACCGGACUCACCUGUAACUGGUGUUUCCUACAGAAGUGAUCGGUCUAUGAGUGA